RNAcentral lists this ribosomal RNA (265 nucleotides) under uncultured Atopobium sp. RNAcentral describes it as "partial 16S ribosomal RNA". It matches the Rfam family "Bacterial small subunit ribosomal RNA", at positions 91 to 356 of the family's 1533-position model. The record is from RNAcentral. Lineage: Bacteria; Bacillati; Actinomycetota; Coriobacteriia; Coriobacteriales; Atopobiaceae.
AAAGUAGGCGAACGGCUGAGUAACACGUGGGCAACCUGCCCUUUGCACUGGGAUAGCCUCGGGAAACCGAGGUUAAUACCGGAUACUCCAUAUUUGUCGCAUGGCGAAUAUGGGAAAGCUCCGGCGGCAAAGGAUGGGCCCGCGGCCUGUUAGCUAGUUGGUGGGGUAGUGGCCUACCAAGGCAAUGAUGGGUAGCCGGGUUGAGAGACCGACCGGCCAGAUUGGGACUGAGACACGGCCCAGACUCCUACGGGAGGCAGCAGUG